Long non-coding RNA from Oreochromis aureus, 490 nucleotides. The record is from Ensembl. NCBI's taxonomy places the organism in Eukaryota, Metazoa, Chordata, Actinopteri, Cichliformes, Cichlidae.
AAAGAGACUGUAUGUUAUUUUCAGCAUAACACACUGGGAGAGACUGAACAUUUUUUAGCAGUAAUUCACAGUAAAGUAUAAAAAGGAUUUGAUUAACAGUGUUACAUAACGAAUGCUAAUCUGCAGUCAUUUAGAAAUUAGUUACAUUUUUAUUUGAUAUAUCACUUGAACUCUUUUGAUUAGCAACCUUACACAAGUGAAGCAAAUUCUUCAGUCAGGCACUUCUACAGAAUACAAAUUGACACACUGCAACGCCUCCAGACAGCAGGUUCAUCAUUUGAAGGGAGCAGACUUCUCCUGGCUGCACUUCAAUUGUGGAGAGGUGGGAGCCACCUCAGAGCAGCUUCCACCUUGAGUGAGGAAGUGGAACAGAUUGCUAUCACUUUUUUCAUUUUGCAAAUAAGGAGCAGUUGAGAUGGUCGCCCCCUGGCCAAGGUGGGCCUGGCAUGUCCUUCUUGGAGGAAGCUGCAGGGAAGACUAAAGAGAGAGA